Molecule: long non-coding RNA, 590 nt
Organism: Talpa occidentalis (Iberian mole)
Lineage: Eukaryota; Metazoa; Chordata; Mammalia; Eulipotyphla; Talpidae
Exons: 3
Source: RefSeq, a predicted model, not a curated record
GGCUGGAGGAAGAUGCAGUGGAGAAAGUCGGCUAGAGCUGAAGACAUUGCAUUGACUUCAAGUAGCUUAAUGGAACAUUGGUAUAUUUAUUUUAUGGCUUUAUUUUUCUGUUUUAGGGAUAAUGACUCUUCAACAUCACUAAUAUUGUGUGAGCUUAAAAAUCUGAAGAGAGAAACUCACAACAGAGCAAGAGCAUGAGAUGCAUUGUUCCCCCCCCUUAUUCAUUUCUAACUAAUGCUUUUCAUCUCAGAGAGUACAUGAAUAUAUGACAUAAAGCUUCCAGAAACACCCUGUAACAGAUGUAUCAGUUUAGAAGAAACUGGGAAGAAAGGGGAGAGGAAAGAAGAGAAAAAGAAGAGGAGGGCAAUGUGGCAUAAAAUUUAUCUGCAUGCAUGCUUGUCUCACUAAAAUAUUUGUUGUUUGCCUUUCCAUGAAUUCCAAAGUUGGAGUCUGUCAGGGAUAAUCAGCCCUUCCCAUCAUGGGCACCCCAUGGUUCUCCUUAAUAGUUGCCUUUUAUGUGCUGUCAGUCCUCAAAAAACAUAUUUAGAAAAAAACUUACUUAGAAGGAGGCAUAAAAUAAAACCCAUGUU